CUCCAUCACAUAUAUUCCCAAAGGCCCAGCACUCCGGUGAAUUCCAGAAACUUGCUGGGCACUAUAGAGGUGUUGUGAUCCAUUAUUACAUAAGUGAAGCCAAGGGUCUUGAGCCUGCGUCUACAAAUUGCUGUACAAUCUAAAAUCAGGUGAUCAGGAGUUUCGGGUUCCAUGUCGCAAAACCGGCAGUUUGUACAAGAAGCCAUUUUCAUGCUGGACAGGUGUUUUUGGAGUCUGCAGUGCCUUGCUAGGUUUCAAUUUCCAGCCUUGCAUUCUAUUGGUUGCUGCCAGUAACUUUCUCUUUCAGAUCAGGUGUACACGGUUGCAUCCUGGUAGGCUGUGCAGCCUUCCUAUGCACUCCUUCACUAAUAGCGAUUUAAACUCAUAGGCUGAGUUCGCUUUUAGUGUCACUUGACUAUCGCUAUGUAUAGCGAUACGCUGGUUGCGUUGGAGAUUUAUUUGUGCACACUGACUUUUAGAAAAGUCUUCUGCUUGAAAAUUGCGCCGUCUCUUGGAAGAAGAGCCAGUGGUGUAUCUGGUCUGUUAGCGUGCUGAUUUGCAUUUAGGUGUUUGAUUUUCAGCGCCUUCGAUCUAAUAUCGUUUUCUAUAAUCUCUUCCAUCCCUUUUAGUAUGAAGAAAGUGAGACUAAUAGGCCUGAAGGAUUUAGCCUAUGAAGAGUCUUUCUUUCGCAAGGCUAUCUCUUAUCUGUCCAACACCGUAUGGCAAUAGAGCUUGUUCUCCUUGUUGCAGAAGUGCUGGGAAGAUGCGAUCCGCCCCUGGUGACUUAUAUUUUCGUGAAAGAAGCCAGUGCCCACUGGAUUGAGUCUGCAUUUUCUGCAGUGAAUAAAUCCUUGCAGCUGUCCAAUCGAACAGUCUCCGGGAAGUUCGCAAGCAAAAAUGCCAUUGCCCUCUUCUCUACGCUAGUCGUAUAGGUCCCAUCAGAUCUUUUUAUGGCUAAUGUCAGUCUUGCCUCUGGCCAGAGCCUUAUGUAGUCUGGCUGCCUCUAGGGCUGAGGAGACGUUUUCACAGAAUUUUCUGAAGCUAUUGAUUUUCGCAGACCUAAUUUCUUAUUAUAAGUUAGGUGCUACCUAUAUUCCUACCAGUUGCCAGUACAUUUGGCUUUGUUGGAAUGCCUGCAAACUGAUUUUCUGAGUACUAAAAGGUUACUGAACCACCAUGAACAACUUCGUUUCCUGGUGGUCGACUUUAGUGGACAGUCGCAAUGUUACGCGUCCAUUAUUAACUGGUUAGUCACAGCCAACCUACUCUCUAGGCCGAGCGGCGUAGCAUCGCUUCCUACCCGCCUUAUAUUUAAAUCUAAAAUAUCCCUAAAUACAUCCCAGCUCGUGUUUCUAGAGAUACAAAUCGGUCCACACUUCUCGUGCUAUUAACGAAGGUGGUUUUGCAACCCACAUUCUCAAUGCUUAAAUUGCUACUUAUAAUAAAUUCCCUCGCGUUGCAGUCUGUGCUGCAGAAUUCCAUAUGGUGCGCGUUGGCGUUUCACCCCAUUAUAAGGGGGAGCUUAUUUCUACUGCAGUAAUUCAUAAGUUUGUGAAUCGCUGUGGGGGUGCUGUAGCUGUCUCCUCUGGAAAAUAGGCCAAUGCAAGGACGAAGUCCGAACCUUCCUUGUCCUUCACCUGCGCCGCAACCAGAUUCUGCGUUAGAAACUCUGAAAUGCAAAAUAAAUUAAUUUCGUCCCUAACCACUUCACAAGACCAAGGUCUCUCACCAGAGAUAUCCCAGAUUACCUUGCUUGUUCUUGUAUUGAGGCCCCUGACAUUUCCUCUGUAAGUCUACGAUUCCUGGAUCAAUAGGUUAUUCGAUAGGAAGAUACUCGCGAUAAAAGCCGAGGCGACCGUCGCGUGGUGUAGGUUCCUCUGGGCAACUUUUAUGAGGCUUUGGCGGUUCUAUGAAGGACAAGUACUAGUCGCCGUUGUCCUCAUCUUUGCCACACUCCUGAACCUUCAGUUCUUCCAGGCGCUUCUGUGUGGAGAGAACUCCCCUUCCCGCAUGAUAGGAGACUCAUCCUGUACUCCUCCCACGACAGUAGCAGUAGCAACUUGCUUGACUGUGUCGGUGCCGCUACCGAUUAUCCUCCAACCAUAUGUAUUGAUGCUCUUGUUUUGGUUUAAUGAGACCAAGUGCAAACUAGUAGGGCUUACCUGCGCUCCUGAAAAAAAACCCUCCCUGUAGAUCUUAUCCAUUAUGUUGUCCUGCAGAGCGUUGGCCACCAAUCGCCUGUGGCUGAUUCCUCUUACAACUCCGAGGUUCUUGAAUCGUUAUUUUCCCACAUUCAGUGUACUAAAAUACCAUUUCACAGUGGCACCUCUCAUGCCCACCCUGCAAGAAUAAUCAGGGCCACCGAGACGCCCAGCUUCUGAUUUUUUACGCACACUUUUGGUCCCGUUUCGUUUGGGUUCGCCCGCCUCCGAGCAGCUGAGCCUGCUUGAAGGGGUUGUUGUGGUGUCCGCAUUUCCUGCAAUCUGCCGGAGUAGACAGCGUCUUCUGAGUGCCACUGCAGGACGGCACUUUAUCAUCGUCCCGCGCGUGCUCCUCAAACAGUGCGCGCUCCUCUUGCGAAAGAGUGUCUAGAAAACUAAACUAACGCCUAACUUCUAAAUCGCUCUUACCUGCAACGGACCUAUUGCCUGGUUUGGUUGUUCAAGGUGGUGAUUGUGGAUGUUGUUUUGUUUUGGUUUUUGUGUACUCAUUCCGUUUCUUAGGACCUUUUGCUCAGCAUGGUGAGCUUCCAGGUCUGGUCUAUAUCAAAGGGAAAUCAAAGGUCCGCCGCGCCAGAGCCCCUUGACGCUUGUACCGGUAUUACCCAAGGUGGCACGGUGUUGGAAGGCUCCGUUAAAAUACAGUCGAAUUUACUUCCUGGCUGCAAAUCUUCCAAUGGGCAUGGGAGUUGCAUAACACCCUGGAUUGGGAGCAGCUCUUCUUCAUCGUACACAUGCGGCCCCUGGCAACCCGUCUAAGGAAUGCUGUACAAGACCAGUCACACCGGCUGGGAGGGACUGAAUGACGUUGAGAUUAAGCCACUUCAAGGUGCCUGCCAGCUACAGAAACCCUGACGUGGUUAUCAAUAACAUUAUAAAUAGUUCCGUAAUUUAAAUGGUACAUAUGUAAUUAUGUAUGUAUGUAUUGUUGACAUGUCUAUAAUAAACUUUUGAUUCAGUAUAACUACGGAUUGUAAUAAAAUCGAAAAUAUUUAAUAUUUUAUGUUUAUCGAUUUAAACCCCUACAUGGGACAAAGAGAAAUUAUACGAAGCUGUUGCUUUUAUGCAAUUACGCUGGGAGAUAUUAUUCAGUUCUAAUAUUUGUUGUUGAUUUUUGGAGAUUGAAUAGUGUAAUAUGAUGUGCUCAACGGUCACCAUUGCAAAUCAGGAGGGACGAUAAAUAAAUAAAAUGAUGAAUUUCCGAUUGUGUGAAUGCCUUAAAGGAAUGCAUAAUAUCUCAAGAAGAUUGUGUAAGAAUUUGAAGUUGAUUGGAGCAAAUUUGACGGUUACGUGUAUUUUUAUACCUGUUUAAUGAAAAUUUUACAUCAGAUUUGUUGACAGUGCAAUAGGCACUACUGCAUAACUGACGAGUGACAAAUUUGGAAUUUGAAAACCUCCAGCUUUACCUGGGGAUAGCGAUUAUCUAACGAUAUAAUUUUGACUUUUUGAUGUCAAAUGAUCCAACACCGAGUUAUGAGGGGCAAAUAAACAUUUUUAACAAAAAAAUCAUUAAUUAUGUUAUUGUUUAUUUAUUGUUGCUUUUUUGUUCAAGUCCAUUUAUAUUUUUUCACAUUUGGACAUCACCUCCAUUUAUUUUUCACUUGGUUUCAACACAACGCCGCACAGUAGGGCCAGGCGCCCUAUUUUUACGGAUCAAUUCACGGAAGCUUUAUUUGUAUGAUUUUUCUUUAUUUUAUUUUUAAUAUAACUACAGUUAGUCAAAACAAAAAGUUUUUGAGAAAAUUAAGAUGCAGUUAUAGUAAAAAAUUGUGGUUAACUAGUUAUGAACAUAAAAUUACAAAAAUAGUUCAAAAAGCUCUUAUUUAAUAUUCAUCAGUAUCGUCCCCAUCUUUAUCCAAAUAUAUUGGUCUUUUUUUGGCAACCUUCGCAUGCUUGGAUCUGAGGUUAAUAAAAGAUAUUUCAGAAAAUCAUGAUCUGAUUUUUCGCGGCUACACUUUCUUGAAUGAAAUUCACGAUAUUUUUUUAACCUUUUUAGUGCCGGGAGCCGAAAUAUCAAAAUUUCUUAUUAUUGAUUUCAUACCCACAAGACACUACCAUUAAUAGUAUGUGCAAUUGCUUUAUCAAAUUCAAAUUUAUUGAUAUUGUUUCAGCAGAAUUUUCUGCAUUUUGGUCAAAGUCUUUUUGGGCAAAGUCUAGCGGUAUUACCGUCGUUUGUGUUUCCAAAGCCAGGCUUGGGGUGGUCAACUAUUAACCGUCAACUUUUUUUAAUUGUAUAGUAGUAUAAAAUUUUUUAAUUUCUUGUUCUACCCUUUCCUGUUCCGCAAUCGCCAAAGAUUGGGUUUACUUUACAAAUUCUAUUUUUAGUGGUCUGCAAAAUCUAGUAGAUGACGGUGAUUUUUCCAAAUUACUUCUUCUUCCAACGUAAGUUUCAGAGGCACAAUCGUUGUUAAAUAUACGGAGGAAUCACUAGCAUCACUUUCAUGAAAAUCUUGUUUGAACGAACUGUGACCAUUUUGUAUAAAGUUGGAGUUUUCGGGUCCUUAACGAGUCAAUCCGAUUUUCAUCAAAUUGAAUUGAUCGUUUUGCUUGUAAACUUACUUCAGUGGAAGUUUCGCUUAGUGUAAUGCACUGAUAUUCUGGAUAGCACUUUUUUUCUCUACUUGUAUUAUUUUAUAGGAUGGAAACUUAUCUGGAUCAGAUUGCGACAUUGUAUUGGUAUAGGGAUAGCUUAGCUUCUACGAAGACAGCCAGUGCUUUAAGGUUUUACAUUUUUGUACCAGUAAGAGGUUUCAUCAAACUUUCGUUAAACUUUUUGGCUGCUGACGGUGAAAAUUUGUGUAGCAUUAAGUAAAACUGAUAACUCUGUUGUGUCUCUUAAAUAUUUAGUUUUUUU
Long non-coding RNA from Bactrocera oleae (olive fruit fly), 5073 nucleotides. RefSeq lists it as uncharacterized. NCBI's taxonomy places the organism in Eukaryota, Metazoa, Arthropoda, Insecta, Diptera, Tephritidae. The record is from RefSeq and is a predicted model, not a curated record.